AUUUUUGUUCUUUUUUUGUUGUGCAUAUUAUUGGGUUUAAUGCAAUAUUUAUUGUAUAUACUUAUAGAUUCAAACAACAACAACAUAUCUAGUGCAAUCCCACACAAGGGGUAUGGGAGGGUAAUGUGUACGCAGACCUUACCCCUACCUUGGGAGGUAGAAAGACUUCUUCCAAUAGACCCUCGGCUAAAAAAGAACAGUUAAGAGAUUAUUUUAUCUUAUAGGUGUAAUUGAAGUAGGUAUUUGAUGAUUUUCCCCGGC
This 261-nucleotide long non-coding RNA is filed under the name Solanum tuberosum (potato). RNAcentral's name for it is "long non-coding RNA (STUB_LNC008362)". Lineage: Eukaryota; Viridiplantae; Streptophyta; Magnoliopsida; Solanales; Solanaceae. The record is from RNAcentral.